RNAcentral lists this long non-coding RNA (257 nucleotides) under Phoenix dactylifera (date palm). RNAcentral's name for it is "long non-coding RNA (PDAC_LNC018426)". Lineage: Eukaryota; Viridiplantae; Streptophyta; Magnoliopsida; Arecales; Arecaceae. The record is from RNAcentral.
GAACCGGUGGUCAGAAAGAGCCGUGCGCUUUGAUGGUUCAGUGAUCCGGAGAUCAUCUUGAGCCGUGUUCAUUUAAUGACUGAGUGCAUUGGAGGCCUGAGGGGGUCUCAUGCAUUAAUGAUAAGGUGUGCCGAAUGCCUGCGAAGAUCUUGUGCCUUAAUGACUUGGGGAUGGUGGCAGAUUGAAGUGGAGUCAUAUAUUUAGUUGUCAGAUCCUUUGGAGGGUUAGGCGGAGAUUGGAUAUUUGGCUAAGGCAUG